Molecule: long non-coding RNA, 2528 nt
Organism: Canis lupus familiaris (dog)
Lineage: Eukaryota; Metazoa; Chordata; Mammalia; Carnivora; Canidae
Exons: 2
Source: RefSeq, a predicted model, not a curated record
CCUUCUCAGCGGUGGGGUUCCAGGGAUUUUUAAUUUUCUUCUGGUUUGAUUAUUUACAGUUUCUAAGUGUUCUCUAGUGGACGAUAUGGAGCUUUUAUAAUAAGAUAUAUUAUUCUAAAAUUAUUAUUUAAAAACAGCUGCAGAACUUCGGCAGCGCGAUCCUACGAUGCAAGCAGCGCCCCCAUCCCCCCGCCCCCCACCUUUUAUUUAUUCAUUUAUUUAGUUUUUAUUUUUAAGACUUGCGAGACGCUAUUUGGGGCCGGGACCGGGCUCCUCCCCCCUCCUUUCGGGCCGCCCCGUGGCCCCGCCCAGACCGACCCUUUUACUCCAGGACCGCCCCCUUCUCCGUUGGUUGCUGGGAAAACCCGGAAGGGUGGACUCUCAACACCUGCCGAUCCCGGCGGCUCCGGUGCCCGCUGGGCCUGUUCCGCCGCCGGGCCAGGGCCGGCUCACCAGGAGCGAGGCGUCUCUGAGCCGCUCCCAGCCUCUCCCCUCCUUCUCCCCGUCCUUGGCAAACCAAGCAAAGUAGCACCUCCGACCCCCCGCCCCGAGCUGGGACCUGCAAAGUGGGUCAGGACUGGACUGAGCAUGCUCCGGACGGGGCCGGGAUGCCGCACGCGGCCGCCUGUCGUUGCCCGAGGUGGAUGGAGCUGCGCUCCCGUCACGACACUGAAGACCAUUCACUGCGACUCCUGUCCACCUCUCUUCAGAUUCUCAGAGGAUCAGCAGAAUGCUCUCGUGCUAUCUUAAACAGGCUUGAGGCAGGUGGGGGAAACUUGCUUUUAACGCUCUGUCACAGAAGAGAAGACUGAAUUGGAGAAAGAUUACAGGAAAGAGAUUUUACAGGCUUGAGGUGAAUAGACCCAAGAACCCAGAGAGAGCCUUGCACUGAGCCCAGGCAGGUCAGUAGAUAGAUGUCCGUAUUCUGUCUGAGGAGGAAGAAACUAGACAGAUGGGUCAGCUGCCCAGUGACGUUUGGUAUGAGAGUGGGAGAUACCCUCACUAAGAGUUGGCUUCAUUUCGACCUCUCCCUCUCAUCCAGCCCGGGUUCAGCUUCAGCAUGAUUGGAGACACCAUCUUUAGUGGAAGGUCACCCCUGGGAAGAGCUUGUGUUCCCCCUAGGCUCUGACUUGUGUUGGGUCACCCUCAUCCCUUGGCUUUGAGACCCCAUUGCUCUUGGUACUUCCUGAGCACUGCUCUUGAUCCCUAUAGACAUCUACACUGCAAAUUUCUGGCUGAGGAAAAGAUGGGUAAGACAUUUCUUUAAUAGUUCAUACCGCCUUUCCUUCCCAUCUGAAGCUUCCUGGUCCCCAGUUUUUCUUAGUUUUCUUGUCUUUCUGAUGGUUCCUUCUCAUCUUUGUUCUCCAGGUUCAUUUCCUUUGCACCAUCCUAUUGUAAGUGUUCUGUCCUGUGGCACCUUCCCUUCUGCUUUCCCUUCUGCUCUUCCCAUCCGAUGACUGUCACUAGCAAGGUGGUGUUCAGUUGAUGUGUGCACAUGAGGCUGUGAAAGCUGUUAAUUGCUGCAAUUCUUUCUGGUCCAUCAGGCACCUAUUCUGAUUGGCCCAUGUCUAUGCCUGACCAUUUGUCUCUACUGAUUAUUAAUAUUUUUGAAUAUUUUAUUUGCCCCAGAUAUUAUACUCCUCUCCAAAUCUCCCUGAGUUCAGACUCUUAUAUGUAAUCUACCAAGUAUCUUAAUGGCUGUGACCCUCAGGAAACUGGAGCCCAAUAUGUCGCAAACAGAAUUCAUGUGCUAUAGCUGCUCUUCUACUUACAUGUCCUAACAUGGUUACUGGUACUCCCACCUUCUCAGUUCUGCACACCACAAAUGCGGAUGCUAUCCUCGAUCCACCCAUCUGCCUUUCCUUUGUCAUCCAGCUGGUCACUGGUACUGUCCACCCUGCCCUGAGACGUCUCUGCAAAUGGACCGUCCACCUGCACUGCCUUCUCAGGCCCAUCAUCUCUUCCAAAUGAGUCUUCUCCCUCUGUAUUUCCUCCAAUCCAAUCUCCAUGCCUCCUCAGACUUUUCUUUUUAAGCAAAUUAUAUUUUGGUGUCUUUGCUGAGCCCUUAGAGUAUGGGUUCUUAGUGCCUUCAGGAUAAAGUCCAACUUUGAAGCAUAGACUGGCCCCUGUCUCCCUCUCCAGAUUAGUCUCCAGCCGGUGUCUGCUGGUGUCCCAUUUCCUAGCCAAUCUGUACUACUUGCUAUGCAUAUUCAUGCCUCCAUGUUCCUUUAGUUUUUCUGUUCCUCUUUCCUCUUGUUCACCCCUUGGCAACUGUUAAGCCUCAGGGUCCAGUUCAGGCUGGGUCCCCGUGACUUCCUCAAGAUGACCUCUUCCUGAAUAUUUCAACUGUAUACCUUGUACUUUGUCUUCAUUUUGACACCUAACCUUGGCUUAUUUUUUUUUUUUUAACUCCUCCACUACAUUGUAUGCAAUGUGAUAGCAAGGGCUUGUCUUGAUAUCUUUGUAUCUUUGUAUUCAGUAACAUUUUACCUAAUAAAUGAAUGAUUGACAUUUGUACCCAUACAAUA